RNAcentral lists this transfer RNA (65 nucleotides) under Asteronotus hepaticus. Its description in RNAcentral is "tRNA-Tyr". The record is from RNAcentral. Lineage: Eukaryota; Metazoa; Mollusca; Gastropoda; Nudibranchia; Asteronotidae.
AUUUUGGUGGCUGAAUCCCUAGGCGGUAAAUUGUAAAUUUAUUUAUGACAUUAUUUGUGUCCCUU